CAAAGAUGCCCGAGUGGUCUAAGGGGGUGGUUUCAAGCACCACUAUUUUCGAAUGCGCGGGUUCAAAUCCCGCUCUUUGCAU
RNAcentral lists this transfer RNA (82 nucleotides) under Organic Lake phycodnavirus. RNAcentral's name for it is "tRNA-Leu". It matches the Rfam family "tRNA". From Rfam's summary of the family: Transfer RNA (tRNA) molecules are approximately 80 nucleotides in length. Their secondary structure includes four short double-helical elements and three loops (D, anti-codon, and T loops). Lineage: Varidnaviria; Bamfordvirae; Nucleocytoviricota; Megaviricetes; Algavirales; Phycodnaviridae. The record is from RNAcentral.